GACGAACGCUGGCGGCGUGCUUAACACAUGCAAGUCGAACGGAAAGGCCCUGCUUUUGUGGGGUGCUCGAGUGGCGAACGGGUGAGUAACACGUGAGUAACCUGCCCUUGACUUUGGGAUAACUUCAGGAAACUGGGGCUAAUACCGUAUAGGAGCUCCUGCUGCAUGGUGGGGGUUGGAAAGUUUCGGCGGUUGGGGAUGGACUCGCGGCUUAUCGGCUUGUUGGUGGGGUAGUGGCUUACCAAGGCUUUGACGGGUAGCCGGCCUGAGAGGGUGACCGGCCACAUUGGGCCUGAGAGACGGCGCAGACGCCAACGGGAGACAGCAGUGGGAAGUAUUACACAAUGGGCGGACGCCUGAUGCAGCAGCGCUGCGUGCGGGAUGACGGCCUUCGGGGUAUAAACCGCUUUCGCCUGUGACGAAGCGUGAGUGACGGUAAUGGGUAAAUAAGCACCGGCUAACUACGUG
RNAcentral lists this ribosomal RNA (468 nucleotides) under uncultured bacterium. Its description in RNAcentral is "partial 16S ribosomal RNA". It matches the Rfam family "Bacterial small subunit ribosomal RNA", at positions 28 to 507 of the family's 1533-position model. The record is from RNAcentral.